This 30-nucleotide unclassified non-coding RNA is filed under the name Arabidopsis thaliana (thale cress). RNAcentral's name for it is "TAS1a RNA forward strand (5'-phosphorylated) from Arabidopsis thaliana (PDB 7VG3, chain C)". The record is from RNAcentral. Lineage: Eukaryota; Viridiplantae; Streptophyta; Magnoliopsida; Brassicales; Brassicaceae.
UACAAGCGAAUGAGUCAUUCAUCCUAAGUC